CCUACGGGACGCAUCAGUGAGUAAUAUUGUUCACUUGUCUCGCGCCUUAACCAGCCAAGUCGCGUGAGGGAAGACGGUCCUAUGGAUUGUAAACCUCUUUUGUCGGGGAGCAAAAGACGCCACGCGUGGCGUUCCGAGAGUACCCGAAGAAAAAGCAUCGGCUAACUCCGUGCCAGCAGCCGCGGUAAUACGGAGGAUGCGAGCGUUAUCCGGAUUUAUUGGGUUUAAAGGGUGCGCAGGCGGAAGAUCAAGUCAGCGGUAAAAUUGAGAGGCUCAACCUCUUCGAGCCGUUGAAACUGGUUUUU
RNAcentral lists this ribosomal RNA (305 nucleotides) under uncultured bacterium. Its description in RNAcentral is "bacterial SSU rRNA". It matches the Rfam family "Bacterial small subunit ribosomal RNA", at positions 338 to 641 of the family's 1533-position model. The record is from RNAcentral.